GACGAACGCUGGCGGCGCGCCUAACACAUGCAAGUCGAACGAGCGAGAGAGAGCUUGCUUUCUCGAGCGAGUGGUGAACGGGUGAGUAACGCGUGAGGAACCUGCCUCAAAGAGGGGGACAACAGUUGGAAACGACUGCUAAUACCGCAUAAGCCCACGGUGCCGCAUGGCACAGAGGGAAAAGGAGCAAUCCGCUUUGAGAUGGCCUCGCGUCCGAUUAGCUAGUUGGUGAGGUAAUGGCCCACCAAGGCGACGAUCGGUAGCCGGACUGAGAGGUUGAACGGCCACAUUGGGACUGAGACACGGCCCAGACUCCUACGGGAGGCAGCAGUGGGGAAUAUUGCACAAUGGGGGAAACCCUGAUGCAGCGACGCCGCGUGGAGGAAGAAGGUCUUCGGAUUGUAAACUCCUGUUGUUGGGGAAGAUAAUGACGGUACCCAACAAGGAAGUGACGGCUAACUACGUG
This 466-nucleotide ribosomal RNA is filed under the name uncultured bacterium. Its description in RNAcentral is "partial 16S ribosomal RNA". It matches the Rfam family "Bacterial small subunit ribosomal RNA", at positions 28 to 507 of the family's 1533-position model. The record is from RNAcentral.